GAUGAAUGCUGGCGGCGUGCCUAACACAUGCAAGUCGAGCGGUAACAGGAGUAGUUUACUACUUGCUGACGAGCGGCGGACGGCUGAGUAACGCGUGGGAACGUGCCCCAAAGUGAGGAAUAACUGCCCGAAAGGGUAGCUAAUACCGCAUAUGAUCUUCGGAUUAAAGGAUUUAUCCGCUUUGGGAGCGGCCCGCGUCGGAUUAGGUAGUUGGUGAGGUAAUGGCUCAUCAAGCCCACGAUCCGUAGCUGGUCUGAGAGGAUGAUCAGCCAGACUGGAACUGAGACACGGUCCAGACUCCUACGGGAGGCAGCAGUGAGGAAUCUUCCACAAUGGGCGAAAGCCUGAUGGAGCAACGCCGCGUGCAGGAUGAAGGCCUUCGGGUCGUAAACUGCUUUUAUAAGUGAAGAAUAUGACGGUAGCUUAUGAAUAAGCACCGGCUAACUACGUGCCAGCCGCCGCAGUAA
Molecule: ribosomal RNA, 467 nt
Filed under: uncultured bacterium
Lineage: Bacteria
Description: partial 16S ribosomal RNA
Rfam family: Bacterial small subunit ribosomal RNA
Source: RNAcentral